CACGUAGGGGGCAAGCGUUGUCCGGAUUUAUUGGGCGUAAAGAGCUCGUAGGCGGCUUAGUAAGUCGGGUGUGAAACCUCCAGGCUCAACCUGGAGACGCCACCCGAUACUGCUGUGGCUAGAGUCCGGUAGGGGAGCGUGGAAUUCCUGGUGUAGCGGUGAAAUGCGCAGAUAUCAGGAGGAACACCAAUUGCGAAGGCAGCUCGCUGGGACGUGACUGACGCUGAGACGCGAAAGCGUGGGGAGCAAACAGG
This 254-nucleotide ribosomal RNA is filed under the name uncultured bacterium. RNAcentral describes it as "partial 16S ribosomal RNA". It matches the Rfam family "Bacterial small subunit ribosomal RNA", at positions 524 to 776 of the family's 1533-position model. The record is from RNAcentral.